GGCGAACGCUGGCGGCGUGCUUAACACAUGCAAGUCGAACGGAAAGGCCCUGCUUUUGUGGGGUGCUCGAGUGGCGAACGGGUGAGUAACACGUGAGUAACCUGCCCUUGACUUUGGGAUAACUUCAGGAAACUGGGGCUAAUACCGGAUAGGAGCUCCUGCUGCAUGGUGGGGGUUGGAAAGUUUCGGCGGUUGGGGAUGGACUCGCGGCUUAUCAGCUUGUUGGUGGGGUAGUGGCUUACCAAGGCUUUGACGGGUAGCCGGCCUGAGAGGGUGACCGGCCACAUUGGGACUGAGAUACGGCCCAGACUCCUACGGGAGGCAGCAGUGGAGAAUAUUGCACAAUGGGCGGAAGCCUGAUGCAGCAACGCCGCGUGCGGGAUGACGGCCUUCGGGUUGUAAACCGCUUUCGCCUGUGACGAAGCGUGAGUGACGGUAAUGGGUAAAGAAGCACCGGCUAACUACGUG
RNAcentral lists this ribosomal RNA (468 nucleotides) under uncultured bacterium. RNAcentral's name for it is "partial 16S ribosomal RNA". It matches the Rfam family "Bacterial small subunit ribosomal RNA", at positions 28 to 507 of the family's 1533-position model. The record is from RNAcentral.